Long non-coding RNA from Gigantopelta aegis, 498 nucleotides. RefSeq lists it as uncharacterized. The transcript is spliced from 3 exons. NCBI's taxonomy places the organism in Eukaryota, Metazoa, Mollusca, Gastropoda, Neomphalida, Peltospiridae. The record is from RefSeq and is a predicted model, not a curated record.
GUUAAAAUUAGCGACUGUUUAUGGGAAAUGCAUAAUAUUUACAAUUAAUUUUAACUAAGGAAGUAAUGCCAUUAAAAAUAAACUUGAAAUGCAUGAGUGAUAAGAAAACAAAGAGUCUCCACAAAAAUCUCUAUUUAAAGGAAAUGUUGUCUACGCUUUUUAACAUUAUUGUCUUAGAGCAUUUGGAAGUUCACAUCUGAGAAGAGAAAACAUAACUGACCAACAUGUUGAAGGCACUGAUAGUUCUCAUGUUUGUUUGCCUGAUAAUCGCCACAGUAAGCGGCGGUAUCGUCUACGGUGGAUAUGGGGGAUAUGGUGGAGGAUAUGCGGGAGGAUAUGGUUAUGGCUAUCCAGGAAGGUGGGGCGGCGGCUACAUCGGUUGCUGCUAACAGAAAAGGCUAUGGUUUUCCCGUGACGACUGCUGCACAGAAAACCACCUUAAGUUGGGUCGUGUAUUAAACUACACGUUCAUUAAUAAAACCAUUUGUCUGAAAUUCA